CCAUAUACAUUUCUCAUUGUUUUCAUUGUUUUGCAUUUGGUUUCCUCUGCUCCAUCAUCUCUUCUCCUGUAUUGCUCCUCAGCUUGGGUAUCGAAAUUUCAGGAAAACAGGUUUUACAGAAACUUGGCUGAUGCAGGUUCUCUAUAUCAAAAGGUUAACACCCAAGUUGUUCCAAAUUCAGUAUCACCAAUGUCAGAAAAGCUCCACUGUCUGCCAGUUUCCCAGUUUCCACCUUUUCGCUUCUUGCGCUUCCUAAUUUUAUCGUUGCACUUUCGUAAAUUUUUCCGUUUGGAUCGUUGUUUCUUGUGAGUUUUCUUUUUCUUAUCCUGUGUUUCUCUAUUUAAUCUUUGAUGGCAUGCUAGGGCUUUGCUACACAGAAAGUUUAAUGUGUCCAUCGGCUUUGUUCUUUAGGUGUUUGAGGCAAUUCUUGAAUGAAUUAGGCUUUUUUCAAGAUUUCUACUAUUGUUUUCGGUAUAACUUUUUGACUGUGGAAUAGUUGGGGGGAAACCUAUGAAGAAAUACUAACAACUGCCUUUGCUUUCAAUUAGACAGUACGAAUUGAACUAAACCAUCCAUGCCUUGUGUCUUUUUCUCAAAAAGAAGAGAAAUUUCAAUAUUAAGUUUGCGAUAAGCUCUUUAAUUGUUUGUUUUUCACACUUGGUCUUUGUGAGUGAGACUUAGAAACUUAAAGUAACAUCUGCAUGUAGAGUUACCACCUGAUUUUCGAUAAAAUUGUGAUAUAGAUAGAGCUAUUUAUUUUUUGUUCACAUUGAUAAGCUGCUGAAUGUACAAAAGUCCAUAACUGUUCUCAAAGUCUUGAAACUUAACGCUUGACGUAUCCGUCACAAGCGGAGCUGAAACGUUUUGUUUGACGAUUACAUUUAUUUUUUAGCAGGCUCAUAAAACACAUCAAUUCUUUUUUUGUUUUUCCAUUUUCCUCCUUUCCCUAUUUGGUUAGCCUGUGAGGGCUAAAUAGUUUGUAUUAGUGGUGAAGGAACGUGAAUAAUUGAAUUCGUCAAAUAAAUUUUUUAGAGCCAUUAUCAUUUCCUUGGUUAUAGAAGAGCGCAAAAAAAAUUGGAUUUUGAAUGUUAUUUCAUUUUUACUCUGUUUGUUUAGCUGUAUUGAUUCCUUAUAAUUUCAUUCCUCUAUUGGAGACACGUUUUAAUUUGUCUACCCAGCUUUGAACGGGAAAGAGCUAGCACGAUUCCAAAAGGAUAUCCUGAUUUGAGAACCAUAGAUUCAUUGGAAGUAUAUCUCUGAUUGGUCAUUUGGGCACAAAGGCACAACUAUUGAGGGGACUUUGGGGGUGAGCUUCAUCCCAUGAUAUGAUCCAUAGAACACGGAGUCUCCAUCAUGUUUAUUUAUGAUAUUCUGUCUAUUGUACAUUUCAGACAGAUGUUGUAUUAUGAUUGUACUUCAUAGUAGAUGUGCAUGCACUUGUGACACUAGGUUUUGAGAUAUUCUAGUUGAUGUUAAUGGUUUUGAAUUAAUAUUGUCAUUUUAUUUUAUUUUA
Molecule: non-coding RNA, 1513 nt
Organism: Nicotiana tabacum (common tobacco)
Lineage: Eukaryota; Viridiplantae; Streptophyta; Magnoliopsida; Solanales; Solanaceae
Source: RefSeq, a predicted model, not a curated record